CUCUGUGAAAAUUAAACGGAUUACGUCGCGCGUGCCAGGAACGCUCAAAGAAGACGAAGAAGAAGAAGCCGCCAUGAGAGCUCCUCAAGCUCUGAUGCUGCGAUCCUCCUCUCCGAUCGCCGCUUUCUUUCGGCGCCCUUCUACUUCUUUUCUCCCCGUCGUCUCCUCUCGUUUCGCCAACUCAAUUUCAUCGUCUUCAUUCCAGGGUUUCUUGAACCCCAUUCGUUUUUCACCUGCUACGAAGCUCGAUCUCAAAUCCGUUUCUUUAUCUGAACCUGGACAUGGAUUCGGAGUGUCUCCGGCACGGAGGUUGUGUAGCGUGCGGGCAUCGCCGGUGUCCGAUUCGGGGUCCAUCGACAUGCCCUUGAUGCAGUCCAUGGAGAAGAAGAUUAAAGAGCAUCUGAAUGCGGAUUCGGUCACUGUCAAAGAUGCAUAUGGAGAUGGUCGGCAUGUGAGCAUUGAUGUCAUUUCAACAGCCUUCGAGGGACAAUCGUCCGUAAAUAGGCAGAGAAUGGUGUACAAAGCAAUCUGGGAGGAGCUUCAGAGCACGGUCCAUGCCGUUGACCAAAUGACCACCAGAACCCCCGCAGAAGCUGCAGAAAACCAGUAAUAAAUUUUUGGCUGAGGUACCAUGAAAUCUGAGUGUAACUUCCUCUGCACCAUGCACUUCACAUUUUACUAUAUUUUUUUUUUUAUGCGAGAAUUCCACCGAACAGACUUUUGAUGCCACAGGCACAGAUCAGUGGGCUUUCUUAUGUGCUCUUAAUCAUUUUCUCAACUUUUUAUCAAACUUUAUCCUAGUCCUCUCUCAGCGAGUUCAACAUCAAUGCUUUCUAAUAUCCAGACUUAGCUUUCUUUCCAAAAGACUAUGACAGGCAGAACUUCUCAUCAGUUGAGCAUUAAUCCAAGCUACAGGUAUACCACCUAAAAAUCUUACUGACAUGUUGGCAUUUAGUUUGGGUCAUUAGAUCACCGAACUUUUUAGUCUCUUGUUCACCAAAUUGUUGAGAAAGAAGUGGUAAAUGAUAACAAGCAAAUGAUCUCUGCUUUCA
This is an RNA transcript of Dioscorea cayenensis subsp. rotundata (Guinea yam), 1052 nucleotides long. It is a transcript of the gene named protein BOLA4, chloroplastic/mitochondrial, with no coding region annotated. Lineage: Eukaryota; Viridiplantae; Streptophyta; Magnoliopsida; Dioscoreales; Dioscoreaceae. The transcript is spliced from 4 exons. The record is from RefSeq and is a predicted model, not a curated record.